UUUUGGACAAUGGGCGCAAGCCUGAUCCAGCAAUGCCGCGUGAGUGAAGAAGGCCUUCGGGUUGUAAAGCUCUUUUGUCAGGGAAGAAACGGUGAGCUCUAAUACAGUUUGCUAAUGACGGUACCUGAAGAAUAAGCACCGGCUAACUACGUGCCAGCAGCCGCGGUAAUACGUAGGGUGCAAGCGUUAAUCGGAAUUACUGGGCGUAAAGCGUGCGCAGGCGGUUAUGUAAGUCAGAUGUGAAAUCCCCGGGCUCAACCUGGGAAUGGCAUUUGAGACUGCAUGGCUAGAGUGUGUCAGAGGGGGGUAGAAUUCCACGUGUAGCAGUGAAAUGCGUAGAGGUGUGGAGGAAUACCGAUGGCGAAGGCAGCCCCCUGGGAUAACACUGACGCUCAGCACGAAA
This 403-nucleotide ribosomal RNA is filed under the name uncultured bacterium. RNAcentral's name for it is "bacterial SSU rRNA". It matches the Rfam family "Bacterial small subunit ribosomal RNA", at positions 362 to 758 of the family's 1533-position model. The record is from RNAcentral.